Molecule: ribosomal RNA, 520 nt
Filed under: uncultured Glomus
Lineage: Eukaryota; Fungi; Glomeromycota; Glomeromycetes; Glomerales; Glomeraceae
Description: SSU rRNA
Rfam family: Eukaryotic small subunit ribosomal RNA
Source: RNAcentral
AGCAGCCGCGGUAAUUCCAGCUCCAAUAGCGUAUAUUAGAGUUGUUGCAGUUAAAAAGCUCGUAGUUGAAUUUCGGGAUCAGACUGUCGGUCGUGCCUCGGUACGCACUGGCAUUAUUGGUUCCUACCUUCUGAAGAACCGCGAUGUCAUUAAUUUGGUGUCGCGGGGAAUCAGGACUGUUACUUUGAAAAAAUUAGAGUGUUUAAAGCAGGCUUACGCUUGAAUACAUUAGCAUGGAAUAAUGAAAUAGGACGUUUGAUUCUAUUUUGUUGGUUUCUAGGAUCGACGUAAUGAUUAAUAGGGAUAGUUGGGGGCAUUAGUAUUCAAUUGUCAGAGGUGAAAUUCUUGGAUUUAUUGAAGACUAACUACUGCGAAAGCAUUUGCCAAGGAUGUUUUCAUUAAUCAAGAACGAAAGUUAGGGGAUCGAAGACGAUCAGAUACCGUCGUAGUCUUAACCAUAAACUAUGCCGACUAGGGAUCGGAUGAUGUUAAUUUUUAAUUAGUACUCAUUCGGCGUCCG